This 356-nucleotide ribosomal RNA is filed under the name uncultured bacterium. RNAcentral describes it as "bacterial SSU rRNA". It matches the Rfam family "Bacterial small subunit ribosomal RNA", at positions 29 to 289 of the family's 1533-position model. The record is from RNAcentral.
ACGAACGCUGGCGGCAUGCCUAAUACAUGCAAGUCGAACGCGACUGAGAAGUGAGAAAUGGGAAGUAUGAGAGAAUUGCAGCGAACACUGAAAUUCCGGAAGUGGGAGGAAGUGCGCUUUCGUUCUCACAUCUAACUUCUCACCUCUCACUUCUCAGUUGAGUGGCGGACGGGUGAGUAACGCGUGGGCAACCUGCCCCAAAGCUCGGGAUAACACUCCGAAAGGAGUGCUAAUACCGGAUGUAGUUGCGGUGCUGCAUGGCACGGCAAAAAAGGAGAAAUCCACUUUGGGAUGGGCCCGCGUCUGAUUAGCUGGUUGGUGGGGUGACGGCCUGCCAAGGCGACGAUCAGUAGCCG